GAUGAACGCUGGCGGCGUGCUUAACACAUGCAAGUCGAACGGAAAGGCCUCUGCUUGCAGGGGUACUCGAGUGGCGAACGGGUGAGUAACACGUGGGUGAUCUGCCCUGCACUUCGGGAUAAGCCUGGGAAACUGGGUCUAAUACCGGAUAGGACAAUGGUUUGGAUGCUGUUGUGGAAAGUUUUUCGAUGUGGGAUGAGCUCGCGGCCUAUCAGCUUGUUGGUGGGGUAAUGGCCUACCAAGGCGUCGACGGGUAGCCGGCCUGAGAGGGUGUACGGCCACAUUGGGACUGAGAUACGGCCCAGACUCCUACGGGAGGCAGCAGUGGGGAAUAUUGCACAAUGGGCGCAAGCCUGAUGCAGCGACGCCGCGUGGGGGAUGACGGCCUUCGGGUUGUAAACUCCUUUCGCUAGGGACGAAGCGUUUUUGUGACGGUACCUGGAGAAGAAGCACCGGCUAACUACGUG
RNAcentral lists this ribosomal RNA (467 nucleotides) under uncultured bacterium. RNAcentral describes it as "partial 16S ribosomal RNA". It matches the Rfam family "Bacterial small subunit ribosomal RNA", at positions 28 to 507 of the family's 1533-position model. The record is from RNAcentral.